UACGAAGGGGGCUAGCGUUGUUCGGAUUUACUGGGCGUAAAGCGCACGUAGGCGGAUUGUUAAGUCAGGGGUGAAAUCCCAGAGCUCAACUCUGGAACUGCCUUUGAUACUGGGUAUCUUGAGUAUGGAAGAGGUAAGUGGAAUUGCGAGUGUAGAGGUGAAAUUCGUAGAUAUUCGCAGGAACACCAGUGGCGAAGGCGGCUUACUGGUCCAUAACUGACGCUGAGGUGCGAAAGCGUGGGGAGCAAACAGG
RNAcentral lists this ribosomal RNA (253 nucleotides) under uncultured bacterium. RNAcentral's name for it is "partial 16S ribosomal RNA". It matches the Rfam family "Bacterial small subunit ribosomal RNA", at positions 524 to 776 of the family's 1533-position model. The record is from RNAcentral.